This is a non-coding RNA of Fukomys damarensis (Damara mole-rat), 138 nucleotides long. NCBI's taxonomy places the organism in Eukaryota, Metazoa, Chordata, Mammalia, Rodentia, Bathyergidae. The record is from Rfam.
GCCAGGCGUGGUGGCGCACGCCUGUAAUCCCAGCACUUGGGAGGCUGAGGCAGGAGGAUCACUUUGAGUUGAAGACCAGCCUGGGCUACAAAGUGAGUUCCAGGUCAGUCUCAACUACAUAGUGAGACCCUGUCUCAA